GACUACUCGGGUGGCAGCAGUGAGGAAUAUUGGUCAAUGGACGAGAGUCUGAACCAGCCAAGUAGCGUGAAGGAUGACUGCCCUAUGGGUUGUAAACUUCUUUUAUAUGGGAAUAAAAUGUUCCACGUGGGGGAUUUUGUAUGUACCAUAUGAAUAAGGAUCGGCUAACUCCGUGCCAGCAGCCGCGGUAAUACGGAGGAACCGAGCGUUAUCCGGAUUUAUUGGGUUUAAAGGGAGCGUAGGUGGAUUGUUAAGUCAGCUGUGAAAGUUUGCGGCUCAACCGUAAAAUUGCAGUUGAAACUGGCAGUCUUGCGUACAGUAGAGGUGGGCGGAAUUCGUGGUGUAGCGGUGAAAUGCUUCGAUCUCACGAAGAACUCCGAUUGCGAAGGCAGUUCACUGGACUGCAACUGACACUGAGGCUCGAAAGUGUGGGUAUCAAACAGGACUAGAUACCCUUGUAGUC
RNAcentral lists this ribosomal RNA (463 nucleotides) under uncultured bacterium. Its description in RNAcentral is "partial 16S ribosomal RNA". It matches the Rfam family "Bacterial small subunit ribosomal RNA", at positions 334 to 795 of the family's 1533-position model. The record is from RNAcentral.